This 679-nucleotide ribosomal RNA is filed under the name uncultured bacterium. RNAcentral's name for it is "bacterial SSU rRNA". It matches the Rfam family "Bacterial small subunit ribosomal RNA", at positions 131 to 828 of the family's 1533-position model. The record is from RNAcentral.
CUGUACAGGGGGAUAACACUUAGAAAUAGGUGCUAAAACCGCAUAAGCGCACAGCUUUGCAUGAAGCAGUGUGAAAAACUCCGGUGGUACAGGAUGGACCCGCGUCUGAUUAGCUGGUUGGAGGGGUAACGGCCCACCAAGGUGACGAUCAGUAGCCGGCCUGAGAGGGUGAACGGCCACAUUGGGACUGAGACACGGCCCAAACUCCUACGGGAGGCAGCAGUGGGGAAUAUUGCACAAUGGGGGAAACCCUGAUGCAGCGACGCCGCGUGAGUGAAGAAGUAUUUCGGUAUGUAAAGCUCUAUCAGCAGGGAAGAAAAUGACGGUACCUGACCAAGAAGCCCUGGCUAACUACGUGCCAGCAGCCGCGGUAAUACGUAGGGGGCAAGCGUUAUCCGGAUUUACUGGGUGUAAAGGGAGCGUAGACGGUUUUGCAAGUCUGAUGUGAAAGCCCGGGGCUCAACCCCGGGACUGCAUUGGAAACUGUAUGACUGGAGUGCAGGAGAGGUAAGUGGAAUUCCUAGUGUAGCGGUGAAAUGCGUAGAUAUUAGGAGGAACACCAGUGGCGAAGGCGGCUUACUGGACUGUAACUGACGUUGAGGCUCGAAAGCGUGGGGAGCAAACAGGAUUAGAUACCCUGGUAGUCCACGCCGUAAACGAUGAUCAAUAGGUGUCGGGG